Molecule: long non-coding RNA, 219 nt
Organism: Octopus sinensis (East Asian common octopus)
Lineage: Eukaryota; Metazoa; Mollusca; Cephalopoda; Octopoda; Octopodidae
Exons: 3
Source: RefSeq, a predicted model, not a curated record
GUAUUUCAUCUAUCUUUAUAUUCUGAGUUCAAAUUCCGCCGAGGUAGACUUUGCCUUUCAUCCAUUCGGGGUUGAGAAAUUAAGUACCAGUCGCAUACUGGUGUCAAUCUAACUGACUGGUCCCCUCCGCCAAAAUUUCAGGCCUUGUGCCUAGAGUAGAAGAGAAUAUUAAUUAACCUUGAUUUAAUAAAGCGGCAAGCUGGCAGAAACGUUAGCACA